GGCUGGAGCUCAGUGGUAGAGCGCUCGCCUAGCAUGUGCGAGGCCCUGGGUUCAAUCCUCAGAACUA
Molecule: transfer RNA, 67 nt
Filed under: Marmota monax (woodchuck)
Lineage: Eukaryota; Metazoa; Chordata; Mammalia; Rodentia; Sciuridae
Description: tRNA.Ala
Source: RNAcentral